This 459-nucleotide ribosomal RNA is filed under the name uncultured bacterium. Its description in RNAcentral is "partial 16S ribosomal RNA". It matches the Rfam family "Bacterial small subunit ribosomal RNA", at positions 338 to 795 of the family's 1533-position model. The record is from RNAcentral.
CCUACGGGUGGCAGCAGUGAGGAAUAUUGGUCAAUGGGCGAGCUCCUGAACCAGCCAAGCCGCGUGAGGGAAGACUGCCCUAUGGGUUGUAAACCUCUUUUGUCUGAGAACAAACCCCGCCACGUGUCCCUGAAUGCCUGUAUCCUAAGAAAAAACAUUGGCUUACUCCGUGCCAGCAGCCACGGUAAGACGGAGAAUGCGAGCGUUAUCCGGAUUUCUUGGGGUUAACGGGUGCGUAGGUGGUACGUUAAGUUAGCGGUAAAAGUGCGGGGCUCAACCCUCUCGAGCCGUUGAAAAUGGCAUACUUGAGUGGGCGAGAAGUAUGCGGAAUGCGUGGUGUAGCGGUGAAAUGCAUAGAUAUCACGCAGAACUCCGAUUGCGAAGGCAGCUUACCGGCGCCCGACUGAAGCUGAGGCACGAAAGCGUGGGGAUCGAACAGGAUUAGAUACCCUUGUAGUC